UUGGGCGUAAAGCGUCCGCAGGCGGCUUUUCAAGUCUGCUGUUAAAGCGUGGAGCUUAACUCCAUCAUGGCAGUGGAAACUGAGAGGCUUGAGUAUGGUAGGGGCAGAGGGAAUUCCCGGUGUAGCGGUGAAAUGCGUAGAUAUCGGGAAGAACACCAGUGGCGAAGGCGCUCUGCUGGGCCAUUACUGACGCUCAUGGACGAAAGCCAGGGGAGCGAAAGGGAUUAGAUACCCCUGUAGUCCUGGCCGUAAACGAUGAACACUAGGUGUCGGGGGAAUCGACCCCCUCGGUGUCGUAGCUAACGCGUUAAGUGUUCCGCCUGGGGAGUACGCACGCAAGUGUGAAACUCAAAGGAAUUGACGGGGGCCCGCACAAGCGGUGGAGUAUGUGGUUUAAUUCGAUGCAACGCGAAGAACCUUACCAGGGUUUGACAUCCUGCGAACCUCUUAGAAAUUUGAGGGUGCCUUCGGGAAUGCAGUGACAGGUGGUGCAUGGCUGUCGUCAGCUCGUGUCGUGAGAUGUUGGGUUAAGUCCCGCAACGAGCGCAACCCACGUUUUUAGUUGCCAGCAUUUAGUUGGGCACUCUAGAAAGACCGCCGGUGAUAAACCGGAGGAAGGUGUGGAUGACGUCAAGUCAUCAUGCCCCUUACACCCUGGGCUACACACGUACUACAAUGCUACGGACAAAGGGCAGCAAACUCGCGAGAGCUAGCAAAUCCCAUAAACCGUGGCUCAGUUCAGAUCGUAGGCUGCAACUCGCCUACGUGAAGUAGGAAUCGCUAGUAAUCGCAGGUCAGCAUACUGCGGUGAAUACGUUCCCGGGCCUUGUACACACCGCCCGUCACACCAUGGAAGUUGGCCAUGCCCGAAGUCGUUACUCCAACCCUUGUGGAGGAGGACGCCGAAGGUGGGGCUAAUGACUGGGGUGAAGUCGUAACAAGGUAACCGUA
This 951-nucleotide ribosomal RNA is filed under the name uncultured bacterium. RNAcentral's name for it is "bacterial SSU rRNA". It matches the Rfam family "Bacterial small subunit ribosomal RNA", at positions 554 to 1504 of the family's 1533-position model. The record is from RNAcentral.